GAGAUCCUGUUUUUAAAUAACAUACAAAACAGGGCUGGGGAUGUGACUCAGUGGUAGAGUGCCCCUAAAUUCAAUCCCUGGUACCCUCUGUCAGGUCGGUGGUGGUUACUUAGGAACAAGAACCAAGGAGCCUGAGCAUGGGAAAGAAACACCUGUCAAUCAGCAGAGUCUUCUGGCCAAUCCUGGAUUUCAUCCAGUUUCACCAACCAACUUUACCAGGAUAAGAGACUCUAAAAACACCUUUUCCUGUCCCAAGCCCUUCCCUUCCUGCCUUAAGCCCCAUAAACUUCCAGUCCCAUGGAGCUCCCACCCGUUUUCUCCUGUGACUCUUCUCCUGUUUACUCUGUCUGUCUGAUCAAGUUCUGCCCUGGAGCAUCAUCUCAAAUAAAGCCUCAUUCAGCGGCCUUUUAAAAUCUGUCUCCUUUGGUCAACAUCCAUUGCUGGACCUCACACCCUCCCCUACCAGAAAAAAUAAAAUAAAAACACAAAGCAUUGAGAGGGCCUGCUAGGGGUGUUAAUUCCAUGUGAUUUCUGCCCAGUCCUCUGAAUGUCAAAGUGAAGAAAUUCAGUGAAGUGCAGUUAAACGGAGGGAGUAACUAUGAUAAUCUUAAGGCCCUCAAAUGCCUCCUCUUCUAAUUAGUGAUGCAUGAAUAGAUGAAAAAGAUUCCCACUUUCUCUAUGUACUAUCCAGCAAAACCACAGCCAAAGGAAUGGGCUCUGCAGACCCAGU
Ictidomys tridecemlineatus (thirteen-lined ground squirrel) is the source of this 730-nucleotide non-coding RNA. Lineage: Eukaryota; Metazoa; Chordata; Mammalia; Rodentia; Sciuridae. The record is from Rfam.